RNAcentral lists this ribosomal RNA (484 nucleotides) under uncultured bacterium. Its description in RNAcentral is "partial 16S ribosomal RNA". It matches the Rfam family "Bacterial small subunit ribosomal RNA", at positions 28 to 523 of the family's 1533-position model. The record is from RNAcentral.
GACGAACGCUGGCGGCGUGCUUAACACAUGCAAGUCGAACGAUGAAGCUAGAGCUUGCUCUGGUGAAUUAGUGGCGAACGGGUGAGUAACACGUGAGUAACCUGCCCCGAACUCUGGGAUAACUGCUGGAAACGGUAGCUAAUACUGGAUACGACCUACGAAGGCAUCUGCUGUAGGUGGAAAGAAUUUCGGUUCGGGGUGGACUCGCGGCCUAUCAGCUUGUUGGUGAGGUAAUGGCUCACCAAGGCGACGACGGGUAGUCGGCCGGAGAGGGUGACCGGCCACACUGGGACUGAGACACGGCCCAGACUCCUACGGGAGGCAGCAGUGGGGAAUAUUGCACAAUGGGCGAAAGCCUGAUGCAGCAACGCCGCGUGAGGGAUGACGGCCUUCGAGUUGUAAACCUCUUUUAGUAGGGAAGAAGCGAAAGUGACGGUACCUGCAGAAAAAGCACCGGCUAACUACGUGCCAGCAGCCGCGGUAA